This 81-nucleotide transfer RNA is filed under the name Amborella trichopoda. RNAcentral's name for it is "tRNA AMTR_s00085t00276860". Lineage: Eukaryota; Viridiplantae; Streptophyta; Magnoliopsida; Amborellales; Amborellaceae. The record is from RNAcentral.
GACCAUGUGCGAGACUUCUGGCGUCUCGAAAGCUUUCUUGAGGCUUUUUAGGGCGAUCUGUUCAUUUCAGAUCAGGGUUUC